CGUUUCCUUCGGGGCAGGGUGAAAUUCCCUACCGGCGGUGAUGUUUCGGCUGGUUUGUUAUCGGCCGAGCUCAGUCCGUGACCCGUGCAGCCAGCUUCUGGUUGCCGGUGGACUCGGUGUAACUCCGAGACCGACAGUAUAGUCUGGAUGGGAGAAGGGAAAG
Molecule: non-coding RNA, 163 nt
Filed under: Paenibacillus sp.
Lineage: Bacteria; Bacillati; Bacillota; Bacilli; Caryophanales; Paenibacillaceae
Also listed under: 1 other name
Description: FMN sequence
Rfam family: FMN riboswitch aptamer (RFN element)
About the family: The RFN element is a highly conserved domain that is found frequently in the 5'-untranslated regions of prokaryotic mRNAs that encode for flavin mononucleotide (FMN) biosynthesis and transport proteins. This element is a metabolite-dependent riboswitch that directly binds FMN in the absence of proteins.
Source: RNAcentral